Cercocebus atys (sooty mangabey) is the source of this 6433-nucleotide RNA transcript. It is a transcript of the gene named exostosin-like glycosyltransferase 1, with no coding region annotated. The transcript is spliced from 12 exons. Lineage: Eukaryota; Metazoa; Chordata; Mammalia; Primates; Cercopithecidae. The record is from RefSeq and is a predicted model, not a curated record.
GAACUCUUGGCCUCAAGUGAUCUGCACACCUCAGCCUCUCAAAGUGCUGAGAUUACAAAUGUGAGCUACCGUACCAGGCCACAAAUGCCAGCUUUUUGAUGAGGCCUCCUGUGUUUCUGUCUAACGUUGCAACCCAUCCCAUCUCCCCAGCAGUUAUUGUCAAAUAGCGUAAGAUAUUUAUUCAUUUUGUUUCUUGCCUAUUUCCCCUCCCUGGAGGGUAAGUGCCAGGAGGGCAAGAUUUUUUCUGCUUUGCUCACUGCCCUUAAGACCUGCCUGGCCCCACAGUAGGGGUUCAUUAAAUAGCCGUUGAAUGAAUGAGAGACUUGUGGGGUGACAGACCAGUCAAAAAGCUGUCCCUGCAUCCAAUCCUGCCAUUUCCUGUCUGUCCCCACACAGACAGCCACAGGAUUUUUCUACAAACCAGAUUGCUCUCUUUCAGGUCUUAGGGUAGGUAUCACUUCCUCAGAAACCUUCUCUGGCCCCCUGUGCUGGGCAGCCCCUCUGUGUACUCUCAGGGUACCCUCCCCUCAUUCUGUAAUUGCCUGCAAUUGCCUAGUUCUGUAAUUGUCUUCUCCAGGACAGUGAGCUCUGGAGGGUGGGGACGCAUCUGUCUCCCUCCCUGUUGGGAGCUGGAAUGGUACGGUGGUUACAGGAGUGUACUACCUGGGUCCAAGUCCUGGCUAAGUCACGGGAAUUUAGGCAAAUUACUUAAGCUCCUUGGGCCUCAAGCUUUCUCAACUGUAAAAUGUGGAUCAUCACAGUUUCUCCCUCCUAGGGUUGGGGCAAGGAUGAAAUGAGCUAAUACAAACAAGGGAUGCUUGGCACAGGGUAAGUGCAAUGAGUGUCAGCUAUGAUUACUCUUACUCAGGGCCGUGUCCCCUGGCCUAGCUCAGAACCUGGCCCAUAUUCAACACUCAUAGUGUUUGUUAGAUGAAUGGAUGACUGUGUAUGGGGAUAGAGGGAUGAAGGAAUGGCAUGAGGACCUAGAGGGGGGCUCUAACCCAGCCUGGGGAGCAUUGGAGAAGCUUCCUGUGGGAAGGAAGCUUUCAGCUGACUCCUGCAGGAUGAGGCGUUGGCUGGGCACAGUGAGAGGGGGGCAUGUGAAGCAGGAGCAGCCAGUGGCCUGUGUGGGUGCCUCUCAGCAUGGGAAAACUGAGCUGUGCAGGAGCCACAGUUCAUUACUGAGUGGCUGAGCGGUUAGUGCCAAGAGCUCAGUGUCCCCUUUGUGGGCCAUUUUUAGGACAGUCUUAGGCUGGCCGCUCACCAAGGGUAAAAAGUCCCAUGGCGGCUCUCUCAUCUGAUCAGCAGCCCUCCAAGAUCAAGGGGAGGCACGCAGGGGAAAGGAGGCCACCCCUUGUUGAGGGACCCCAGGGGACAGGCCCGGGUCAACCUGGCAACCCAUUCCUGGCUGAGAUUAUGCCCAUCCCAGAGAUAAGGGGACAGAGGCCCCACACUCCCGAGGCAGUCAGGAGAAGAGGCAGAGCCCACUCAAGUCUGCCGACUCCCUGUGCCUUCCCUCAUCAGCCCAGGACUCCUCGUGGCCAGAGUGUGUCUCCCCCAUCACCCCAGAGAUACCUCAGUGGCUGACAUCACCCACUCCUGACUCCCCUCACAGGGCACUGACCAGGGAAAUCCCUGCAUGGGGUCUGGACUAAUGGAGAGUCAAGUGCAGGAAGAACUUUCCAUAAGGACUGGGGUAAAAGGCUGGGAAUUGGAGGAGAUCGGGGCUGGGGCUGCUGAAGGAAAAAAGACCGAUCCUGGGGACAGUUGGGGACACCUUACCCAAUUCCACCACCCCCACCCCUUAAUUCCUCACUCGUCUCAUCUGUUGACCUUCUCAUCUGCUGAUUCGGAGAUUCCUUACACCUGGGUUCUGGCCUCCACUGACUCUGAUGGCCCACAGCAGGUGCAGAGUCUAGUUUUUGCUCUAGCCACGGGGCCCACAGCUGGGGUGGCCGACGAUCAGGAGCUCAGGAUUCAAAUCCCCACCCUGCCACUUCUUAGCUGGGUCACCUUAGGAAGAGUUCGCCCCCUCUCUGAGCUUUCCUUAUCUGUAAGAAAUGACAGGUAAAUCUCUGCCUUGGAGGGUGGCUGGAGGACUGAGAGACAGAGGCUGUGCUAGCUCAUGGCCAGCUGUGAGUUGUGGUACUUGAUGGUUUGAUAAGCAGUUGAGGAAACUGGUUUGAAAGGGGUUAAAUGGAGACCCUGCCUCCCAGCCAGGAGCGAAUCAGGGCUGGCAGGGGAGGAGCCAGGCUGCUGCUAAGGAAAGAGAUCUAGAUGGGCCAGAUGCCGACUGGAGAGGGACGGGAGAAGACACCGUAGGGUUUGGGGGGCUUGGCACAGCGGCCCUGGCCCCUGCGCUGUGAUAGCUCCAAGCCAGAUGGUGCAGGGCAGCUGCUGGGCUGCGGGGAAGAGGGGCUGCACUUCCUGAGCUGGUGCAGCGGCAGAGUUGAUGGGGACCAGGACCCUGAACCCGCCUGGCCAUCCAAGGCGGGGGACACCAGCUGCACCCAGGCUGUGACCUCAGCUGACUCCGAUGAUCCACAUGGGAUGCAGGGUCUAAUUUUAGCUCCAGCCACAGGGGCCACAGUCCAGGAGUGUCUGCCAGCGGGCACAGGGGCAGCCAGGGCUGCUCAGGCAAGGGGAGGAGCGGGAAGACCAGCCCAGCUCCCUCCAGCCCGUCCCUGGCCAAGCCGCCCCUUGUGGGAGCUCUGACUGGUCCCCAUGGCCUGGCAGACAGCCUUCCUCUCAGUUGAGGGCAAGGUCAAGGGGUGCAGCCAGGAGGUCAGGGGGACACAGCCUUGCAUUCUGGACAGGGGUUGUGUCAGCCAGAGCAGUGCCCAGGGGCAGGGGCCCCUGCUGGGAGGGCAAAGGCUGGCUUGGUUGUCUAAACCAAGAAGGCAGUGUCCUGAGGGCAGGGGGGCCAGGCCAGCAAGCUGGGUCCCACCUGGCCUCCUCCUGCCUGGCUGGUGACUCACUGUCUGACCUUAGACAGGCAGCCUGGUCUCAAUGGGCCUCAGUCUUCCCAUCUGUACAAUGAGAGGGCAGGACUAGCAGGUGGGUCCCAGCUCUAGUCGCCCGCCCCAGGCCCUGCUCUUCCUGCUUGCUGGCAGAGGCCUCCCAGCUUCCCCAGCCCUGACUGUGGGUGGCCACAUGCAGUCGUGGAGGAGAAGAAAGUCCCUCUGGCUGGCACUGUCAGCCUCCUGGCUCCUGCUUGUCCUGCUGGGAGGCUUCUCCCUUCUCCGCCUGGCAUUGCCUCCCAGACCUCGGCCUGGGGCUCCCCAAGGCUGGCCGCGCUGGCUGGACGCAGAGCUCCUGCAGAGCUUCUCCCAGGCUGGAGAGCUCCCAGAAGAUGCCGCUUCACCUCAAGCCCCUCAUGGUGGCAGCUGCAACUGGGGAGCCUGCUUUGACACCUCGAAGUGCAGGGGCGAUGGCCUUAAGGUAUUCGUGUACCCAGCUUCUGGACCGAUCUCUGAGACUCACCACAGGAUCCUGGCUUCCAUUGAGGGCUCUCGCUUCCACACAUUCAGCCCUGCUGGGGCCUGCCUCCUUCUCCUCCUCAGCCUGGAUGCCCAGACUGGAGAGUGCAGCUCAAUGCCUCUGCAGUGGAACAGGGGCAGGAACCAUCUGGUCCUCCGUCUCCACCCAGCUCCCUGCCCCAAGACCUUCCAGCUGGGACAGGCUAUGGUAGCUGAGGCCAGCCCCACGGUGGACUCCUUCCGGCCUGGCUUUGAUGUGGCCCUCCCUUUUCUCCCUGAAGCCCACCCGUUGCGAGGUGGGGCUCCUGGCCAGCUGCAGCAACACAGCCCCCAGCCCGGGAUAGCCCUGCUAGCCCUGGAAGAGGAGAGGGGUGGGUGGCGCACAGCAGACACCGGCUCCUCUGCCUGCCCCUGGGAUGCACGCUGUGAGCAAGACCCUGGACCUGGGCAGACCCAGCGCGGGGAGACUCUGCCCAAUGCCACCUUCUGCCUCAUCUCUGGCCACCGUCCAGAAGCUGCCUCGCGCUUCCUCCAAGCCCUGCAGGCCGGCUGCAUCCCAGUGCUUCUCAGUCCCCGCUGGGAGCUGCCCUUCUCCGAGGUCAUCGACUGGACCAAGGCAGCCAUCGUAGCUGAUGAGAGGCUCCCGCUUCAGGUCCUGGCUGCCCUCCAGGAGAUGUCCCCUGCACGGGUCCUCGCCCUGCGUCAGCAGACCCAGUUUCUAUGGGAUGCCUACUUCUCCUCGGUGGAGAAGGUUAUCCAUACCACUCUGGAGGUUAUUCAGGACCGGAUCUUUGGAACAUCAGCUCACCCCUCGCUACUGUGGAACAGCCCCCCAGGGGCACUCCUGGCCCUGUCUACUUUUUCCACAAGCCCCCAGGACUUCCCCUUCUACCACCUGCAACAGGGCUCCCGCCCUGAGGGCAGAUUCAGCGCCCUGAUCUGGGUGGGGCCCCCAGGUCAGCCCCCUCUGAAGCUCAUCCAGGCGGUGGCAGGCUCCCAGCACUGUACCCAGAUCUUGGUUCUCUGGAGUAAUGAGAGGCCACUCCCAUCCAGUUGGCCGGAGACAGCCAUGCCCUUGACAGUCAUUGAUGGGCACAGGAAGGUUAGUGAUCGCUUCCUCCCAUACAGCACCAUCAGAACAGAUGCCAUCCUCAGCCUUGAUGCCCGCAGCAGUCUUUCCACAAGUGAGGUGGACUUUGCCUUUGUGGUGUGGCAGAGCUUCCCAGAGCGGAUGGUGGGCUUCCUGACGUCAAGCCAUUUCUGGGAUGAGGCCCAUGGUGGCUGGGGCUACACUGCUGAGAGGACCAACGAAUUCUCCAUGGUUCUCACCACAGCCGCCUUCUACCAUAGGUAUUACCACACUCUCUUCACCCACUCCCUGCCCAAGGCUCUGAGGACCCUGGCAGAUGAGGCACCCACCUGUGUGGACGUCCUGAUGAAUUUCCUAGUAGCGGCAGUCACCAAGCUGCCCCCUAUCAAGGUGCCCUAUGGCAAGCAGCGCCAGGAGGCUGCUCCACUGGCCUCUAGGGGCCCGGGGCCCGGGCCAAAGCCGCAGGCCCCAGCCCCCGACUGCAUCAACCAGAUAGCGGCAGCGUUCGGCCACAUGCCCUUGCUGUCCUCUCGUCUGCGUCUGGACCCGGUGCUGUUUAAGGACCCGGUGUCCGUGCAGCGCAAGAAGUACCGCAGCCUGGAGAAGCCCUAGGGGGUGACCCGCGGAGACCCCAGUGGAGGGCCUAGCCCAGCUCCCAGGGGAAGCGACACCUGCCUGCGGGCUCCGCCCUUGGGAUACAGAACCUAUCAUGGCAGCCAGCGGGCCCACACGUCGGAUCCCGGUUGGCCAGUCACAACCGGGGGGCGUGGCCUUACUUUCUCCCGCCCGCCCGCGCUCGGCCGCGGAGCCUCAGUGCAGGCUCAGCCCCGCGCCCGGAGCGCCGCUCUCCGCUUCUCCACCCAGCUAACUUCUGCUUGUGUUUCAGAGCAUUGCCUCCUCCAGGGACAUUGCCUGGCUCUCCUCCCCGCCCCCGAUGGGUUCGGUCUCCUUAGCGCUUUCGCAGCCCAGUGUUUGUCGCGGUUCCCGCAUGGUCAGGCCCCAGGACUGGCUUGCGAGCCCCGGGGGUCUGGUCUUUUCAUGUCCUUUUCUCUCUGGCUAGGCAGAUGUGCCGCAAAUAUUUGACGAAUAGAUGGAUGGCAGACAUUAACUGCGUGCCUGGCCCUAUGCGGGCGGCAGCGGGAUAGGGUGAGCGGAGAAACGGAACGGCCUCCCCACCCCAUUCCUAGGGUUCCUAGUCCCGGGAAGGUAGCUACCCAAAGACGCCUAGGUUGUCAGGUUCAAUCCUUGAGCCUCAGCCAAGGCGCAGAGGGGUGCGGGUAAACGAGGAGUGGGCGAGGAAAGCAGGACGGGAACAAGUGGCCGGCCCCUGUACGGCGCGCGCCGGCGGCGCAGUUUUGGCCGCCUGCCUUGCACUACCGACGCCGACCACUAGAGGUCAGCGCUGCACCGCACUCGUCACUCCCAUGGCCAUAGGGCGGCCGGGAUGUGGAGGGUGAGCGCUGUGGGCAGCUCGGGGGCUGAAAGCUGGGAAGAGGAAUCUGAAGAACAGCCCCAUCUCUUUGGCCUGCACACUUGGAACUCACUCCCUGCCUCUAUGUGAUGGGCAUUGCCCAGGGUUUGACAACACACAGUCGUAGGUUUGAAUCUGCCUCUACACCUUACCAGCUGUGUGACACUGUGCAAGUCACUGAACCUUUCUGAGCUACAGAAAACACUACCACCUCUCCCUUCAGGUUGGUGUGAAGAUCAGAAGUGCUGACACUUGGUAAGUAUUGGAUAAAUGUUCCUUUCCUUUCCCCACCCUUUUCCCCAGAACUGGGAGGGAGUCCUGAAAAGGACCCCCUGAAGAGAGGAUAUUCAGGUGGUCUACACUCCCCUGACACCCCCACCACUCUGUGUCCCA